RNAcentral lists this small RNA (1497 nucleotides) under Rattus norvegicus (Norway rat). RNAcentral describes it as "uncharacterized LOC102546393". Lineage: Eukaryota; Metazoa; Chordata; Mammalia; Rodentia; Muridae. The record is from RNAcentral.
GGGAGGAAGAAGAGGAAGAAGAAGAAGUAGAAGUCAUUAUGCACAGGGAGCUUCGACCUACUGCAGCCCCAACACUGCUUACGGAUUGAUGGAAGAAAACUGCAGCUCUGCGUUCGGAGGACAGCAGCAUCUCCCGUCACCCCUGGACACCUUCCAUUGCAGAGGCUUCUAACUUCCUGAGCAGUUAUGGAGUAAAGGAAUACCAGGCCCUGUGCAGAUCUGUCGUGAGCCUGAUUAUACAGCCCUCCUGGGAACCUGUCUUCUUGCUGCUUCAUAAAGGCUGGGGCUUCUCUCUUUGUUUCCCAUGUAGAGGUGGGGGCUUUGGGGCUGGCCCCUUCUCUGUGAAUUAUUUGCAACCUUUUCCUGCUCCCCUCACCCCACCUCCACCCUCCGUACUAUGACCCUGGGAAGCUGGGAGGGGCUGGAGGGGUGGAAACUGGGAUUCUUGGCAGCUCCUCGCUCCAGUGGUAUGAUCAGGUUGGCCAAGGUAGAGUACACCAGCUAUGAGCUCUACCUCCCUGGUGGUAGGUUUGGGGCUGAUAAGAACCCUGCUUCCUGCUGCUCUGCUCCCUAGAGCACUCCAGAGGCCCACUGUGCCCCUUAAUCCUGUUCUGCGUUUUCAGAUAGCUGCCGCUUCGUGACUAAAGGCCCUGAGGCAUUUCUUUCCUAAGGGGAAGCUGACUGGCACUGUUAAUGCCUCGCACACACACACCACACUGCCACCACCCCCUGGCUACUGUGUGUAGGCUGUCUGUGAAGUAUGAUAAAAAAAAAAUCAAUCAGAACCAAAGAUAAAGAUACAGGAGCAAAGAGGUUUUACUUGGAGAAAGUAGAAACAGAGCAACCUACACGUGUUGCCAUCCCCCUCUAAGAAGAAAACCAGCCAGCACUGGUACACCACGCUCUCCUAGAGCUGACCAGACCCAUCUUGAAGAAAGAUGAUGAGAACCAGGCACUGGGACAGCCAGCCUCAAGAUCUGGACCACAGGGACAUCCGCCAAUUCUGGAUUGCAGGUCACUCCAGAGGCCAAGAAGCAGCAGCACAGGGGUGAAGUCUGUGACCAGGAGCCUGAGAUCAGGGCAGCUCCCAGCCCCAUGCCCGACAUAUGGCCAACAGACACCUGGUUUUAGUCACACCCUGUAAAACCCAGCUGAGACUGAGGGAAACCUGCCACCAGUUCCUGGAUUAGAAGAGGGAAGGCUGUGAUGUCUAUCCAGUGGUUCUCCAUAUGAGCCUCAGGGUCUCUUCUUAAAGCCUGGGCUGGCUACAAAACAAUUCCCCUGCCUCAGUCCCUGAGUGUUGGCGUUAUAGAUAUUUGCUACCAUACUUGGCCUCAGGGGCAGUCCCAGUAGACCUGAGGCUUGAGUCAGGACUCUUGGUAGACACAACGGAAGACAUGGUGCUGCCCUGCGUUCAGUAAGGAACCAAGCUUCACCAGAUGAGAGGCUGCCUCCUUCUAGGACCGGGUCUUUUUUUUUUUUUUUUCUUUUUUUCGG